Molecule: long non-coding RNA, 169 nt
Organism: Scomber japonicus (chub mackerel)
Lineage: Eukaryota; Metazoa; Chordata; Actinopteri; Scombriformes; Scombridae
Exons: 4
Source: RefSeq, a predicted model, not a curated record
AGCAGCAGCCAAAGAAAAGAAGAAAAGGCUGCAGGAAGCACACUACUGGGCUGAAGACCGUGUUGUUGACUUUACACUCAGGCGUAGCAGCUUCAACUCUCAGGAAUGGGCCUGCAGGGACACAACGACUGAGACAGCCUUCAGAUUUCCCUCCACAUUCAGUUAGAAA